This 11240-nucleotide long non-coding RNA is filed under the name Gallus gallus (chicken). RNAcentral describes it as "lncRNA (ENSGALG00010006646.1)". The record is from RNAcentral. Lineage: Eukaryota; Metazoa; Chordata; Aves; Galliformes; Phasianidae.
UGUUUUUUUUAAUGAAACAAAUGAGGAAAAUGUUUCCUUGAGAUUUCAAGAUUGGACUUCCAAAGAAAUCUAGGACUGAAAAACCAAAGCUCUGCUUCCAGCAGGGUUGGGCUUCUAAACAGAGUGGUCCGGUCACACUGCUUUGUACUUUUGAAAGUCCAGUGCUAAUUUUAAAUGCCUAAGAAGGAGCUGUUAGAUACUGAGCUUUUUGGAGUGACUCCUCUGAAACAACGAAGGGACCAUUUCUCUUAGCUUGCCUUUGGGAUAUUUUAAAUGCCUUUUUGGCUUCCUUACUACUUUUAAACGUUCCUAACUUCUGUAAUAAAACCUACUGCUAUAUCAUACUUGUCACUACUGGCCACAAUCUGAUACAAAGCAUGCAACUAUCUGGGGAACUAUCAAAUGCAGGGGAGGGGAGAAGAAGCUAUCAAUAUUUUUUUUUUUUUUUUUGGUAAGAGACGGUAACAGUAUUGCUGACUUCCAGCACUCAUGAGUCAGACUCACAGAAAGCUCCGAAACUGGAAUGUAUAUUUUAUUUCAAUUCAUUUGUCUGCUUACUCUUGGGGUUUGUAAGGCUCGUAUGUUUCAGCUUUUUCCACAGCCAGGUGGUCUCAAGUGCACCACAAAUGAACAGUUACUGGAUAUUGCCUUAUAGUAGAAUGUUGCAUAUUAACUAUUCAUGAGCCUUUUUCCCACUCACACCUAUCAGUAUUUUGAAUUCCUUAAUUCAUAUCUAUGCACUGUGGAUAAGUUUAAGUAAUGCUGAUAUUCUCUCUGUGAACACUGAUUGAAUGUCAGUGUCCUGUUGCAUUUACUGUUAGCGGAAAUGGAAAGGAUGGAUGAAAAACAGAGGUCAAAAAAUACUGCAAAUUCAGUACCUGUUCUUUUUGCAGUUAAUCCUGGACAUAGCAAUAGGAAAUUUUAGUAAAAUUUCCAAACUGCCCAUGAAUUCCAAACAACAUAUGAACUCAGGGAAAGUUUAAAACAAAAUUGAGACUUUAUAACCUUAGCGGCUAUAUGUGACCUGGAAGAUUUUAACACAGAUUGCUUCUCACAUUCAUUUAUCAUCAUUCCAGGAAAUUCAUCAUGACAUAGAUUUUGUCACAACUAAUCCUUCCAAAAGCAGAAGUGUGCAUGAUAUGAUCCAGCUUAAGAGAUAAUCAGAAACAAGAGAGGAAACAAACACUUUUGUUUUUAUUUGAUGAGACCACUACAAAAACAGAGAGAACUUUUUCAGAAGACUGAGGGAGAAGACAGUUUUAUAACCUUGUUCACUGUUUUGUUUUCUCUGUGGCAGUUAAUAGAGAGAGGAACAUUUUCAGAUGAAUCAACAAAGUUAGAACCACUUUCAUCCUUUCUACACAAACGAUAUGUUGUAUUCCCGUCUGAUAGACCUAUGAAGGGAAAGCAGCUCAGGAUGGCCAAUGGUUUCCCUCACCAGUGCAGUCACUAAAGAGAAUCAAGAAUCAGGAAGUCAGACUACACUCUGCAAUUGCUUCUUCAAACCUUAAAAAUCAAGGAGACAUGGAGCGAAUGACUGUAUUGGGUUUGAGUCAAUGGAGAAUUACGUUCUGCUGCAUCUGGAGAGGAUAAGAAUUUGCAGGAAUCGUGGUAAAAUAUCUGUACUAAAAAAGGAAUGAGUUGUUUCAAAUAAAAAAUUUGUGUGACUUGUUGCUAAUUCCAAAGAAAGAGGAUAGAGAUUAAAUAUGAGGCACAGGCUGUAAACUAUUCAGGAUGGCUUUCAUAGCUCAAAGGGUAUAAUUAAAAGUAUGGAACAAACUGCCAAAGUCUACGAUGGAAAUGAAUAGUGUAACACCAGGUCAAAAGGGAUCUGGACUCAUUUCUGGAAGAAGAGACAAUGCACAGCUGUUAGAGUGUAUUUUAAAGGAUGAAGAUGAUCAGUUACUGCAUGAAUUGAUUGGUAUUUCCUGGGCAUGUUCUGUUAGAAUUUUAGUAUCUCCUGGACCUUCGGUCGUUGUUUGUUUCUGGCAACUGCAUCCAUACAGGAGCAAAUGUCUUCCAUUGACUUGAAAUUUAUAUUGUAGAAUAAAAUUACUGUUUUCUCCAGCAAAAAUUCCUCGGUGGAAAGGAAUUUUCAUAUUAUUGCCAUGACAUCAGUUCAUUCAGAAAAGAUAAGCAGCUAACUACAUACCCUGGAGUCUUGUAUUCUCUUAAAUCAUCAGAAUCUGGGAGCAUAAUCAACUGCGUAUACACGUCUGUGUAAUUAAUAUCCAAACAACUGCAUACACCUUUUGAGUUACACUGGCUCUACAGUCUAAAUAAUGUAAUGCACUAUGUAAAAACUCAAAAUAAGAAACAAAGUGACAGGGUUGGCAAUAGCCUGAUGGAAGGACACUGUAAACAUCCAUGAAUCCCACUUUAGUAACUUAUCCAGACAUUCCAGAGGCCAAGGCCAAAACAGACCAUCCAAGUUAGAUGGAGGCAGGCAAAGACAAAACUGAGGGGCUUUAGAGAACCUGAUGCUCACAAAUGUCUUGAAUGUCAUAGUCAACCCCUUCACAUAGUGCCACUCAGAUGUUUCAUUGCCUUGAGAGAAGAGCUUUCUGCUUCUUCAACAACUGUGAUAUCACUAUGAAGAGUCCAUUUCCACACUGCUGGCACAGAAAAAAGAGACACUCUAAAGGAGGAGUUGCUGGAGUGAGAAGAAGUUACAAGCAUCUGGAUUUACUGGACAAGGCUUGGGGAAAUUCUUGGAGAAGACUCUAUUAAGCUGAAAGGCUGAAGACUAAUGAGCACUGCCUGCUCUGUUGCAUUCCUAGAGCUUCCAUUUAUUUGAGGCUGGAAAUGGUUGCUGUAUCCUUUUAGCAACUCCUUCAUUAGAUGCAAGCAGCAGGCAUGGAGAACCUUGUGAAGCUGGAUUCACCCACUUUUUACACUCUCCGUAAUACAGAAUAGUGACCCCCUUUUAUGGUACAAAAGAGAGGAGGCAAGUAUGAAGGACUUUUCUGGAUCCUGUACAGGCUACCUAACACACUGACUGCAGUCCAGCAUGAAAUCUGCUUAGAUCAGAGCAGAGACAUAACGGAUGCCCAAGGCUUUGUUUGCCCUAGCCAAAACUAUGGUUCCCGUGCAAAGAGACAACAGCUAUUUCUGACAUAGCUCCAAAUUUGCAGGGCCCUGAGAAUAGAAAAGUAGCAUGUGGAGGCAAAUCCUGUGGUUAAUCCCGCCAUUGUACAACAUCUCUUUAGUCCGAGGAGUUUGUAAAACUUAGGUCAUAUCAGUAUCUUACCUAUAUAUGGAAAAGGACCACGGAUAACCACUUUAAUUUGUAGGCUUUUUGCAGCAUAGUCUGAGUCACCCUCAUUAGAUGGAGGAGCAACAGAAAUAGAAAUUCUCACUGAAAUAGACCUAGAGAAGUCAUCAUAGCCCCAGUCUUCACUCCCUCCCAAGUUUUUCUAGGCACUGCAUAAAUACAGCAGGAGCUUGUCCAUACCUCAAAGGGGUUUUAAUCUAAAUAUUGCCAGAAAUUUAAUAGCAGUUCAAACGUUUCAAGGUUUUCCAGCUUUGCAUACCACAUGCAUUACUACUGGUACAGAUCUGUUUAAAGCAACUUGAAUUGUGCAGGUGAACAGGCCUGCAGGGCUGGGUAGCAUCUGCAGCCACUGAGUGCUUUUGGGGAUUGAUUUUUAAGGGACUUCCUGAUGUGUAUGGACUGCUUUCAUUCUAUUUGUAACAUCUUCCUACCAGUGCUUUGAAUAUACUAUUCCAGUUGAGUUUAGGAAGAAGUCCCUUCCAACGGGAAAGGAACACAAGUUACAAGCUUAGUUGUUAAUUAGCAGUUGGGUGGCUGAUUGGUCACUUUUACUGUUGAGCUCACCUACACCAGCUAUUAGUUACCACUCUUGGAUUGAAAUCAGUCUGUCUUCCUUCCCUGUGCCCCACUUCAGGGCACAGGAAUAAAGACCUGUAAUCAUUAUACCAAAAAGAUAUAAUUCUUCUUGAUUUUCAUUAGUCAUUUCUCAUUUCUACAGUAUUUGGUGAAUUAGCUAUUGUAUUUCAGAACUGAUCCCUCAUCAUACAGGUGAGAUCUAGAUUUCCCUGGCAAACUUCCUGCUAGUGCAUAUAGGGCUGGGAUCAGUUUCUCUUUAAGGGAUUCAGAUAUAUAUGUAUAUAUUUUCUUAUAUUAUUUUUGUACUGUACUCCCUGUUCAUAUUAUGGCACAUCCUAAUAGAAAAAAAAAAAUGUACUGGUAAAAAUCUUUCAAUAAGCUUUGGAGCUCUCUUCAUGAUACUGUUUCUUCUUCAGAGGAAAGUAUUCAGUCAAAGUUGUGCAAGUCUCUCUUCUGCACUGAAUUUGCCAAAAAAAAAAAAAAAAAAUAGCAAGAGCGGAAAACCUAUAAAAGAGACACUGAAGUACUGCACACAGAUUGAAUGUUUCACUGGUCUUGCUUCCAGUUCUGCUCCAAGCACUUUGGCACAUCCUAAAUCUUAAACACCUGGCCCACUGCCUUUCCUGAAGAGAGAUGUUUCUGUGUGUCAGGCGUCCAGUUUUAAAAAUAUGUUUGUGUUAGCACCAGAUGUUUUUGGUGGUUUGUUGAUCAUGCAAAGGAAAAGAUCCUACCAAGUCUUCUAAUACUUUUGAAAACCUUACAGUGAGAGAUUUCUUCAGAUUUGGAUAAUGCUCCUAAAGGGCCAAAGGGGACAUCAGUAUCAUUUUUUGAAGCUGAUAUUACCUGAUAAUAGAACUUCACUUACAAAGACUGCUACAUGGAUUAAUCCUAGCUUGGAUUUGCUUUUAGUACUCUAAUAUUACUCUGGAUUUUUGAGUUUGUUAUUCCUUUAAGGCAGAAUUUUAUACAUAUUUUUUAUUUUAGACAUAUAUUUUAUACAUGUAUAUAUAUACUUUUUUACAAAUCUUCCUUGGCUAUUUUUUCUCAUAGUGUUAGUGUAUGCACAUUGUAGUCUAAUGCACAGAUAAAUGGACUAGGUCUGGAAAAGCUGUUCUGGGACCACAGUCCAACUGGAUAAGACAUUGAGACUACAAGAGCCACAAGAAUUCUCUCAUCUACAUUUGUUUCUGAAAGAAUAGUGAAACCCACCUUUAAAUUUACUGAAGUAUCUUCACUUGUCCAUUUCAACCAUAAUAACAGUUCCUACAUUCUUAUAUGGGAUUUCCUGGCUGAAAAGCCAUGAGCAGAAGAACCCAACUCUCCCAGAAGAAGUCUGAUCUACACACACAUUGCAUAUAUGCAUUAAAUGUUGUCCUUUCAAAGUAUACUGGACUUUCAGCUUAAGGGCAAAUGAGAGGCAUGAUUUGAUGAGUGCCAUCAAACUGAUACUGCCAUGAGCUGCUGGAGUCACACACAGGACUAGUGCAGCUGAUCAGCUUGUGUGCUAAGAGGCCCCAGGCUGUGGUGCGUAAAGCAGUUAGGUAUGAUGGAACACAGAUAUGCUUUCAUUAGCUUGCUAGAGGCCUAGGAUCCUCAAGUGUAAAAAUUCCCUUAUACGUACGUAUUUUUCCUAGACAACAUUUCUGAGUGGCAAAAUAGUUUUCAGAGGAAGUCCAGGCACAAGAAGACUUGGUCACUGCAAGGCCUAGAGACCGUUUACUGGGCUGAAGACUUCAGGGAACUCUGGUGCUGUGCCUCUUCACCUCCCCCUUGCCUGUUUCCAGUGCAUAAAGUCCAUUGAAGCUCACAGUAGCUUUCUGUUUGUUCAUUUGUGGUGGGUAUUAGGCUGAUCACCCUCAGCAUAGGAGUUUGUCCAUUAGUCAGGAGCACAGGAAGAUUGCAGAGGAAGAGAGGAGAUAAUGCACAUUGCUCUUUUUCUAUGCUUCUUCCAUAUUAUUGCUGACAGAUUUGACCUGUGACAAAUCCUUGAAAUAUGGUUGUGCAGACAGAGAUGGGACAGAUCCAAGGAUAAAAAGCCUGUGCUUGGAAAACGCUGUGCUGUGACAGAUUGCAUGAGCUCAUAUGUAUCUCUCUGCCAUUGCAUGUUUGCUCUUGCUUACUUAGAGAAAAGCAGCCACAGAUCUGCAGAGGAUGAUGGCUGUACAGGGUGCAAUAUCUUAUCCUCAAACCUAUGGAGCAGGAAAACAUGCAUCAGUCCAGAGACUGAGGCUCUCCUAACAAUAUGGAUCAUUUGAGUCUGAUAGCUUGUGCCAGAAGUGCAUUUUUUCUUUUGUGAAAGAUGAAAUCCUGACAUUCCUGGCUAGCCCAAUAUAAAUAUGGCCACCCAAGUACUGUGGCAUUAUUUGAGUUCAUCUGCUGAAUAGCUGCUAUGUGGUUUCUUUGGCAGCUCAGUGAUUCCCUCAGCUAACAGAAAACUGUGGCUCCUCCCUCAGUGGCAGCUGCUGCCUGAGGGCUGGCCUUACAAUCAAACCCAAACACACCAUGACCCCAUGGAGGCCCCAUCGGUCUGCUUGUCCCUGGCACUUGAGGCUGAGCAUUUGCAUGGGCCUGGCCUAGGAGCCGGUUCUGCUCCGUGGCUGUGAAGCCGUAACCAGGUCCAACCUGGGAAUCAGUUUCCCUGGCCUCUCCCUUAAAACACAAACAAUUUCUCACCACUGUAGCCAGAGGAAGAGAGAGCACAUUUGUAUUUUACACUUGCACUUGGCUGGAUGUUGCUUGUGCUAGUUUUCUGAACACUGUACUGGGCAUGCUAGUAGUGCAGGACAAAGUUCACUUCAUGUGAUGCAAAGAGGAUUGGGGAAAGAUGACCUCGAGAUCGGUACUGAGGUUCCCCCCUGGGAAUUUUGUUUAAUUUUUUAAUAUUUUUAUUUUUUAAUAUUAUUUUUUUAAUGAAAAUAAUUUGAUCUCCUCAGGUCAUCUUGUAAGCUCCAAGGAGAAACCCUCACUUUCCUGGGAUGACGGAGAGAAGGAAUCACAGUUCCACCACAGCAAAUAAGUGUCAUCACUUUCCUUUCAGAUCCAAGGAAGUAUUUGGGUUUUUUUUUAAAGAAGCAAAAGAAGAACCCUCUUCUCUAGCAAGCAACAACAAAGUAAAAUACUGGCACCUUUCUUUGAGCUGAAAAGAAAAACAUUGUCAGAAAUGCUGUGGGGCUGUGUGCUGGGUGUUCAUGGUCCUCAGCUGUGUCUGAGAUGACAGCUCAGGAGCUUUUAGUCCUUCUCAGGAACUUUUUAGUCUCCUCAGCCAUAACAUAGGAGUCAAAUAUAAGCUCACACUGUUUUUUAUGGUUAGUGGAUUGCACUACUGCACUGACAAAACCCAUGCUUUUAUAUACCUUAAACCCUUGUAGACACAGGAGAUUUAAAGAAAGGACAGUCUAAAUAAAUAAAUAAAUACUGCUAUCCCUAGCAGAGAUCUCAGCACUGCAGCACUCCAUUCACUUGCAAAUAGAGUUUAUGAUCCUGAGUCCCCUGGGCAGGAAUGAAUUCUGCUCCUCAACCAGCACAGGUGCAGGGCAGGGGAUGGACAGUGCUGCAGGUCCCAUGGGUGGAGUGAGACACUUGCCUUUGCUCUCCAUCUCCCAUUGCUGGAGCAGGGCCAGUGUUUCCAGACUCCUGCUACCUUGCUCAGCCCAAGCCCACGGCACUUUCUGUUUGUUUAACACUGUCUGGCAGCCUUGAGAUAACGGGGAUGUUUCUGGCUGGCCUCACAGCUCCCCAGCACCAAAUGAUCUGCAGACCCAGGCUGCUUCAGACACUCCAGAUCCCCAAGUGGGCCAUAAAGCCCAACAUAAGCAGGUCAGAGCUCAACUGUAGGUUACUGCAGGAGCUCCAAGAUACUUGCUAGGCACCCAGGCACUCUGCUCAUCCCCUAGUCUUCAGCAAAGUCUCAAGAAGGGUUGGCCACAGAAAUCCCUGUGUAGGAAAUGCCUUUCAGCUCAAAACAAAUGAGAAUGAGUGCAUCAAAAAUAUCACAUGUAUACACAUGUGUAUGUAUGCGUGUAUGUAUAUUUAUGAACUUUCCCUUUCAAAGACGUGCUGAGGAUGGGAAGACUUACAGGCCCUUCAAUGGUGCAGAGCCGUCAGCAAGGCGAAAAUAGGAAAGUACAGCAGCUGCAAGUCCUCAUACAACAUCUCACUUAAAAUGUCAUGUGUGCUACUUGGUUUAAAUUGUCACCCCUCCAGCAACCACAAACAAUGCAGAAACAGCAGAUGUGUUUUCUAUUUAGAAUUAAACAGUUUAUCUCAACCACUGUCAUUGUUACAGAGGGAAAAUAAAUAAAUAUCCAUGUUAAUGUAAACUUCAAAAGGUACUUUCUGGCAUGAAUGGCUGUUCUGAAUCCAGACUUCACUGAGAAAACCAGGAUUUGUCCACAGAUUUUUUUCUUUCUUUUUUCUUUUUUUUUUUUUUUCCAAUAGGGAUGCUGGCAGCCCAGCAUGUAGUAAAACUUAGACUGGUCAAAAAGAUUUUUUGGCCAGAUAUAGCAUCCAAUAACUCAUGUCAUUUAGACUUAAUGGUCCAGAAAAUUAAAGUAAACAUCAUAAAUGUCUUUUGUUAUUAAACUUUCCAUUCAAACUUUUUGUUUAACUCUUACUUAAUGGAAAGUAAAGAUGACAUUUCAAGUCACAUAUUUACCUAUGUUGUAAUCUUGAAGUCAUCUCAUUGAGAUUUAAAAAUGUGCCACAAUUUCAGCCUAGGCAAGAACUCAGUAAGAAAAAAAAGCUGAUGUGUGCAUGUGCUCUGAAGAAGUUAAGGUGAUGAUAAAUUCAGCCCGCACAGAUUAAGGUCAAUUCAUUGUUCAAUUCUUAGUUUUACAGGUCUAUAGCUCUGUUCUUUGUAGGGGCAAACAGCAUCUCAGGCAAGAGUGACCGUAGGGAUAUUACUGGAUCUUUUUUAACUUUUUAAGAGGGGAUACUAUUCGUGAAGACUGCAACCGAGCGAUGUGGUUGGGGCAUGCCUCAGGAAAAUGCAGUCUUCCGUAUGAAAAAAGAACAAAAAACAAGAAGAGCUUCAUUUAGACAUUUUUGUCCCCCGCUUACAUUUAAAAUAGCAAAAACAAAGCCAAACUCUGUCUAGUUGUGAAGAUAUUUUGACUAAAUUAAGUUUGAUUUGUUUCAACAGCCUAAAGAAGGUUCCAAAACUGAAUAUCACUGUGUACUUCUUUGUGUGUGACAUGGCCUUCACCAAUACCUUUCUUGUGUUUGAUUUGCAGCCAGUAUUUUAAACUUCACCAGCCAGCUUGUUUCCAGAUUUUAUAUUUUUACAAAGAGUUUUUUGUCUUCAAGCAAGAAAACACAAAUGUUCCUGUUACUCCUCCUGUCUGAAAUGUGCAGAAGAAGGGUGCAUGUGAUCAGCAAUAAGCUGUAAAGCCUUAACUGCUAGUAUUACUUCAUGGGCUUGUAACACAUUCAGUUUGAUGCUUGUUCCUUCAUAACUGUCACAGUCCUGCAGCUCCACAGGGCUUCUCAAUGGUUGGCACUUUUGAAUGGCUGAGUGUAAAAAGGCCUUAUGCAACACAUUGCCCUCUGGAUUUCGUGUAGGAAAGGAAUCUUUUUGCAUUGGUUAGGGCCAGGCUAAGGAUCACUAUUAUGUUUGGCUCAGGGGCUGACUUUAUGUGUAUAACCAAGAUUCACCAGCAUAAAAUUUCAAAUAUUCUUUUCACAUCCAUUUCAGGACAAGGCCAGGCCCUGGUGUAUUGGAUGAAGAAAGAAGCCCUUCCUCUGGACAAGAUGUCUACUAGACCCAGCUGAGCAUUGUGAAAGAGUUAGUUCCUCACCUCUCUAAGCAAUUGCCUCUAAGGGUGGGAAUAUAAACUACAGUCUUGAUCACUUUAAUGUAGUGGUCAGCAUAAUUUGUUUUUUUAAGGUACAAACAUUUUAUCUUGUUGCCUGACUUCAGAAAAAGUAACAAAUGAGUAGGUAAAUGCACAGCUGUUUUUCAGGGAAUCAUAGCUCUGAUCUCAUCACUGGCAAAGGCUUGCUGCAGUAAAUCUGCAAAAGUGACUGAAAACCCCUCAGAAUCUGAGCACCAGGGCUUGACUGGGCUUUGGACAUAGAUGUUAAAUGAUUUUCUGCCAGUCUAGCCGAUGUGGUCAUCACAAUUUCUUCUGACUGUCUUGACACCUCUUCUUGCUCCUAUGACUUGAAUACAGGUCAGGAGGACUUUCCAAUAUGUGGUAUUACGCCUAAACAGCUUUUCUGGAGCAGCAGUUUUGGAUCAGCAUUCCUGGAUAAUCCCACGAGUGGACAAUAUCUACAUGUGGAAUUAAACAGAAAUAGUUGCUGUGUUUAGUUUCCUACCUGCAUUUGUGCCAAACUAAUUUUAAAGUGUAAAUGGUCCCUAAGAGAUUACAUAUGCACCCAGAGGAGGAAAUGCAUUCUGCUACUAUACGGCUGAAUUUGUACAAUUUAUGGAGCAUGUCAUAUAAAUGGAAUGGACAGAAAUCUGUUACUAAAUUGGAAUUGAAGAACAUGAUUGAGUGUAUCAGUGAAUGACUAAGGCCUUUAGACCUUAAAAUUGGUUUGAGUGUUCAUAGCUAUAAGCAUCCAUGAGAUCUCCCAGCAACUGGAUUGUAUAUUUGCAUAUAUAGCCUCUUCCUCUGAGUUAAAAUUUGGAUUUUUUUUUUUUCUGAUAUAUAUAAACAUUAUUCUGCCUCUCAGGCUUGACUUAAGUUACUGAAUAAAUUAGGAGUGAAAGACAACUGUGGAAAUUACAGCUAGAAAGGCAACUGAUUUAUUUUUUAAAUGCUUCUGCACAAUUUAAAUUUGAUUUGUGGUAAAUGAGACACUUGAGCAGAUGAAUUUGAAGGAGGCAUAACUUUCUCAGGCUUGCUUAUAUUUUCGGAUAGACUUACUGGAAAAGUUUUAGUUCAUCACUCUUCCAGGAUCUUGAAAUCUGACCAAGAAACCUUCCAAAGUAAUAUGAAGUUCAUGCUAAAACAAUGUUAUCAGAUAGGAAAAGUUAAUGCUACUGUUAUCUACAGGUCAGCUAACGUGUAAGUUCUCACAGAAGUUCUCUAGCAUAAUAGAUUUGCUUCCUUACUAUGGAAAUCAUGCUAUUGCUACUAUUAACAGAAACAAAAUCAGAUUCUGGCUCAACUAUUUCUAUUUAAUAAAGAAAAAAACCUGUUUAGAGCUACAGAAUAAGUAACAGCAUAUCAACUGUUUUGGUUCUUUUCCUCUGUGAACUAUGUCGAAAAAAAAAAAAAACCAACAAAUUAUUCGCUAAGACUAUUUUGUUUUCUUAGUUUGCUUGCUACACUGAAUUUUGCAAUUAUUAUUUAUAUGUCAUAUAGAGCUUCUCUGAAGUAUUUGAGUUGCGUUGAUAGCAUUUGUGUUUACAGAAUAAAAACACUUAUUUUUACACACAGAA